AGCAUUCCGUAAGGGCGUCGCGGCCAUCAUUUUUUCGCUCUCUAAUUCUCUUAUUGAGCAAACUCUGCUUGAGCAGAGCUCAUUAGAAGCGGACUGCUUGGUGGAGACGAACGUAGCGGACGAAUAAUUUAUACUAUAAGCUUAACGAAACACAAAAGGAUUACAACACAAACACAGAAGGAUUAAAAUUAACUCCGUUAUUUUUGGCGCAGUGCAUUUAGAAGCAUUCCGUAAGGGCGUCGCGGCCAUCAUUUUUUCGCUCUCUAAUUCUCUUAUUGAGCAAACUCUGCUUGAGCAGAGCUCAUUAGAAGCGGACUGCUUGGUGGAGACGAACGUAGCGGACGAAUAAUUUAUACUAUAAGCUUAACGAAACACAAAAGGAUUACAACACAAACACAGAAGGAUUAAAAUUAACUCCGUUAUUUUUGGCGCAGUGCAUUUAGAAGCAUUCCGUAAGGGCGUCGCGGCCAUCAUUUUUUCGCUCUCUAAUUCUCUUAUUGAGCAAACUCUGCUUGAGCAGAGCUCAUUAGAAGCGGACUGCUUGAUGGAGACGAACGUAGCGGACGAAUAAUUUAUACUAUAAGCUUAACGAAACACAAAAGGAUUACAACACAAACACAGAAGGAUUAAAAUUAACUCCGUUAUUUUUGGCGCAGUGCAUUUAGAAGCAUUCCGUAAGGGCGUCGCGGCCAUCAUUUUUUCGCUCUCUAAUUCUCUUAUUGAGCAAACUCUGCUUGAGCAGAGCUCAUUAGAAGCGGACUGCUUGAUGGAGACGAACGUAGCGGACGAAUAAUUUAUACUAUAAGCUUAACGAAACACAAAAGGAUUACAACACAAACACAGAAGGAUUAAAAUUAACUCCGUUAUUUUUGGCGCAGUGCAUUUAGAAGCAUUCCGUAAGGGCGUCGCGGCCAUCAUUUUUUCGCUCUCUAAUUCUCUUAUUGAGCAAACUCUGCUUGAGCAGAGCUCAUUAGAAGCGGACUGCUUGAUGGAGACGAACGUAGCGGACGAAUAAUUUAUACUAUAAGCUUAACGAAACACAAAAGGAUUACAACACAAACACAGAAGGAUUAAAAUUAACUCCGUUAUUUUUGGCGCAGUGCAUUUAGAAGCAUUCCGUAAGGGCGUCGCGGCCAUCAUUUUUUCGCUCUCUAAUUCUCUUAUUGAGCAAACUCUGCUUGAGCAGAGCUCAUUAGAAGCGGACUGCUUGAUGGAGACGAACGUAGCGGACGAAUAAUUUAUACUAUAAGCUUAACGAAACACAAAAGGAUUACAACACAAACACAGAAGGAUUAAAAUUAACUCCGUUAUUUUUGGCGCAGUGCAUUUAGAAGCAUUCCGUAAGGGCGUCGCGGCCAUCAUUUUUUCGCUCUCUAAUUCUCUUAUUGAGCAAACUCUGCUUGAGCAGAGCUCAUUAGAAGCGGACUGCUUGAUGGAGACGAACGUAGCGGACGAAUAAUUUAUACUAUAAGCUUAACGAAACACAAAAGGAUUACAACACAAACACAGAAGGAUUAAAAUUAACUCCGGUGAGUGCACAGC
Molecule: long non-coding RNA, 1542 nt
Organism: Drosophila subpulchrella
Lineage: Eukaryota; Metazoa; Arthropoda; Insecta; Diptera; Drosophilidae
Exons: 14
Source: RefSeq, a predicted model, not a curated record